CCCUUAGACGUUCUGGGCCGCACGCGCGCUACACUGACGAUGGCAACGAGUUUUUCCUUCGCCGAAAGGUGUGGGUAAUCUUUUGAAACAUCGUCGUGCUGGGGAUAGAUCAUUGCAAUUUUUGAUCUUGAACGAGGAAUUCCUAGUAAGCGCGAGCCAUCAGCUCGCGUUGAUUACGUCCCUGCCCUUUGUACACACCGCCCGUCGCUACUACCGAUUGAAUGGUUUAGUGAGGACUCCUGAUUGGCGCCGCCGCCCCGGCAACGGAGCAGCGGACUGCCGAAAAGUUGUUCAAACUUGAUCAUUUAGAGGAAGUAAAAGUCGUAACA
Molecule: ribosomal RNA, 329 nt
Filed under: uncultured eukaryote
Lineage: Eukaryota
Description: partial 18S ribosomal RNA
Rfam family: Eukaryotic small subunit ribosomal RNA
Source: RNAcentral